CGGCGAACGGGUGAGGAACACGUGAAGAAUCUGCCCUCCACUUUGGGAUAACACCGGGAAACCGGUGCUAAUACCGAAUAUUGAAACAUAAGUGGCAUCACUGAGUUUUGAAAGAAUUUCGGUGGAGGAUGACUUCGCGGCCUAUCAGCUAGUUGGUGAGGUAAUGGCUCACCAAGGCAACGACGGGUAGCCGGCCUGAGAGGGCGACCGGCCACACUGGGACUGAGACACGGCCCAGACUCCUACGGGAGGCAGCAGUGGGGAAUAUUGGGCAAUGGAGGAAACUCUGACCCAGCGACGCCGCGUGCGGGAUGAAGGCCUUCGGGUUGUAAACCGCUUUCAGUAGGGAAGAAGCGAAAGUGACGGUACCUACAAAAGAAGCACCGGCUAACUAUGUGCCAGCAGCCGCGGUAAUACAUAGGGUGCAAGCGUUGUCCGGAAUUAUUGGGCGUAAAGAGCUCGUAGGUCGUUUGUUACGUCGGAUGUGAAAACCUGAGGCUCAACCUCAGGCCAGCAUUCGAUACGGGCAAACUAGAGUUUGGUAGGGGAGACUGGAAUUCCUGGUGUAGCGGUGGAAUGCGCAGAUAUCAGGAGGAACACCAAUGGCGAAGGCAGGUCUCUGGGCCAAUACUGACACUGAGGAGCGAAAGUCUGGGGAGCGAACAGGAUUAGAUACCCUGGUAGUCCAGACCGUAAACGGUGGGCACUAGUUGUGGGAACCUUCCACGGUUUCUGCGACGCAGCUAACGCAUUAAGUGCCCCGCCUGGGG
This 770-nucleotide ribosomal RNA is filed under the name uncultured bacterium. Its description in RNAcentral is "bacterial SSU rRNA". It matches the Rfam family "Bacterial small subunit ribosomal RNA", at positions 96 to 878 of the family's 1533-position model. The record is from RNAcentral.